This 12500-nucleotide long non-coding RNA is filed under the name Homo sapiens (human). RNAcentral describes it as "HSALNT0165959". The record is from RNAcentral. Lineage: Eukaryota; Metazoa; Chordata; Mammalia; Primates; Hominidae.
GGAAAGAUAACAAACAUAUCCUUGCAGAGCCUAUGGUGUGGGCCAUGAACCGUCCUCUCCCCAAGCCUUUACUUAUAUUCCCAGGCCAACUCCUUUAAAAGAUGGGUCACAGCAUUAUUGUCUCUAAUGUACAAAGAAUUAGUUGUGGCUCCUAGAGUUAACUAACUAGUCAAAUUUACACCAGGAGAAGUGGCUGGGAAAACAAGGUGGGCUCAGAUAUGUUUCACUCCAAAUUCAUGGUCUUCCCAUCACACCUGCAAUGGAUUCACCAACACACAGAGGAUAGUGAAAGUCUCAGUUUAUUUUCUAGUUAGAUUACUAACUUUGUUUACAUGAGGCAACGCACUGUCAUCAAGAAAAAAGAAGACAACAAAGAAGAGAACUGUUUUGCAAUAGCAGGCAGCACAGCGCAGGAGCUCUCAGACUACCUCAGAUGCCAAGAGCCUGGUUUGAAUACAAGCCUUGCCAUUGUGUGACUUUGGGCCAGUGUUUCCAGCCAUCAUGUCAGAGCUGAGUGGAGUGGCACUGGGUGCCAAGGCAAACACCCAGCCCAGCUGUGCUGGGAAGAACUGAGCUCCAAUGUGUCUUGUGACCCAGCUCCUCCCACCCACCUGGCUGUGUCUCCUAUCCUGCAGGUUUAAAGACCCCUGACGUGACUUAUUGCCAUUCUGCUACUGAGCCUUGAGAGAUUAUGGCUUGACUGGAUUUACAAGAGACCUUUUGAAAAGAUGCAGAGAAGGCAAGCAGCACACAUUUCCUGGUAAUAAAUUUUAAAGGUUGCUAAAACAUUCCAGAGAUUUUCACUCAACAUUCCUCUGGCCAACACAUCUGCAAUCUGCCAAUCCUUAAAAAUAGGUGUUUUUGCAUUUUAAUCUCACAAACAUCUUUGAAAAUGCAUUUCUUCUCUGCCCCUGUGUUGGACAAAUCCAGCUUUUUCCAUUUUCUAAAAACCACAGAAAUAUAAUGCUGCUUAAUUCAUACAAGACUGAGCUAACUGGAGUUAAAAUAAAAUUUCUGAGAGUUUGUUUGGCUCACUCUUCCCUACCAGAUGAUUCCAUUCUUAAAACGGUCCUGUGAUUAUAUUCUCUCAUUACAGAGGUGUCCAGAAAAAAAAUAAGGAGUGCAGUUCUGAAAUUAUAUAAAAGCAAAAUUAUUACUCUAAACGUAAGAGCUGUGAUAGAUCGUGUCAUUGACCAUGGUUCUUUUCCCCUGACACACACGUCCCCACCACCCACCCACUGUAUCCAUAUGCCUUUUGCCAUAUGACUUUGCAGCUCUCCCCACUAAAGGGGCAGCCAUGCGAUUUGCUUUGGCCAAUGAAAUGAGGCAGUAGUGGUGGUAUCCUAGUUCUGAGCCUAGGUCUCAAGAAGUCUUAUGUGUUUCUGCUUAUCCUCUUAUACCUCUGCCAUCACCAUGAGCCAAACAUCCCCCAAGUAGCCCACUGGUCCCAGGACAAGGAGGGAGACAUGAAGCAGAGCUCAUCCAGCUGCUGCAGCCCCACUUGACCCAGAGACCUACACUGGGAAGCAGAGCUGCCCAGUCAAGUCCAACCUGGAUGUGUGGAACCCCAGCCAACCUGAUGCAUGAGCACUCACGGCAUUGGAAGACAUCAUAAACAUUAAUGGAGAGCGGGAUGCCAGAAUAAGUUGAUCCAAAUGAUGCAGGAAUAUUUAGCAGCAAGGAGAAAGGAAUUCACAUUUCUCAGUACCCACUAUGUGCCAUACUUUGUGAUAAGAUGGUUUCCCUCCAAUAUAUCCUCAUUGUCAGCAAUGUCGGGAAACAGGAAUCAUUUCCCCUUCUACAGGUGAUAAAACUGAAGCAAGAAACAUACAGGCUAACAUCAGCUGAGCUGAGAUUUGAACUCCACUCUUUUUGACCCUGGAGCUGAUGAAUGCUGCUUCUAGAGGUUGAGUAUCCCUUAUCCGAAAUCCUUGGAACCAGGAGAUUUUUGGAUUUGGGAAUAUUUGCAUAUACAUAAUGAGAUAUCUUGGAGAUGGGACCCAAGUCUAAAUACAAAAUUAUUUUGUUGUAUAUACACCUUGUACACAUAGACUGAAGAUAAUUUUAUACAAUAUUUUAAAUAAUUUUGUGCGUGAAACAAAGUUGUGACUAUGUCUUGACUGUAAGACAUCUUGCAUGCAACCCAUCAUAUGAGGUCAGGUGCAGAAUUUUCCAUUUGUGGUGUCAUGUUAGUGCUCAAAAAUUUUCGGAUUUUGGAGCACUUCAGACUUUCGUUUUCCAGACGGGGGAUGCUCAACCUGUCUUAGAACCUGUGGUCUCCCAUCAUGCCUCCCUUCCCCAUUCCCUUGCUCCACUGGGGUCUGAGGUGGGAAAGCAAAAGGAGUUGCAGGUAACCCUCACUUUUCACACCAGGCAAUCUCUCCCCACAAUCUGUCACAUUCCUGAAGAACAAGGAAGCAGAGCACUCCACUGAAGAAAUUCUGUUAAAAUCUAUCCCCAACGUAUAAGCAUCCAUCUUUGUCCCAGUCUGGGUCUAACAUGAACAAAGUGCUUAAACAAUUCAGUAGAGGAGAAAGGGAACUUGGAGCAGCUCUGUCACCCUGAAGUGACACUGCCAUGCUGCAUUUCCUGUCUGUAAUAUCUCUUCAGAGCAAUUGUUUUCUUCUGUGAGGACACUUCAGAGAUUCACAGAGACAGAUGCUCUUGUGACUGACCAUAGCAAGUAUCAAAAGGCCUGGGUGGAAUUACGAAGCAUUUCUCGUGCACUGCGUAUUGGGAAGUGCUUCACAGCUGUGUGGCAGAUGUGAGUGGACAGAGGGGCAAGGGAACUGCCCCAAAGGAGGUGGCAGAGGAAGCAACAAGCCAGGGAUUGGCUGGCCGGUCCCAGCACAGCAACUGCAGCAGCAGCUUGCUAAGUUUCACAGGUGAAGCCAAAGGCUGGGGGGAAUGGAAAACAAAUAUCACUCCAUUAAAUUAAGGUCUGAGGAAAACAUGAUGAGGAAAGUCAAUAGUGAAUCAAAACAUUGAAAAGCCACUAACUUUGACUUUCCAUGUGCGUGUGCAAGUUCACGUGUGCAUGUGUGUCUGCAUGUCCAAGUUCUACACUGAUUCAAGAAAUAAUUAUAGAGGGCCUGCCAUAGGAUGGUGAGCAAAACAGUCUUGGCCUCUGUCCUGAUGGAGCAUGCAGUAUCACAGACUCUAUAUGUUCUAUUUCUAGGCCUUGUAUUUUGAGGAUAUAUGCCAGUGGAAUGAGAAUGGCUCUGUGACCUUGUUUAAGUCCCACCACUGUCUCAGGCAGGGUUUUCCAAAGUGUAGUCCUUAUACUAUUAUGUGGUGAAGAUGCUUAAUUGUUUUGUAAUUAUUUAAUGUGCGUAGGUAUCACAUCAAACCCAGUAUUUUCAAGGAUUUUUAUAGCUUAAGACAAGGCUUGUUAUAGGCAAGGUGGAUCAAUUCAAAAAAUAUAUGCUAACAAAAUAAUAGUGGAGGUGGUACAAAGAAACAGCAAAGGUAGUGAGAUGGCUUCACUGGUGUUUGUGAAUCACCAAGAUAAUGCACGUGGAAAUAAAAAUCAGUGUGGUCCAUAGAAAUACAAGGGGUUCUAAUUACCCCUCAGUGAGCACUUGCUCUCUCACUCACCCCAGCAAUGACAUAUUAAGCAAAGCACUGCCCUGACUGCAUAUGCUCUUGCCGACAACUUGGCCAGCAUUCAGAAGACACUAAGUGUGCUCUGGGAACUUCAGAAGGCACUAACAUUCCAUGGAGAACUUCACAAAGAGUGAGACCUAGUCCCUGGCCUAAAGAGAGUAUAAUUUAGUAGGAAAGAGAAGACAAACACACAAAUAACUGUAAAAUGGGAUAAGCCCCAAAGUGGAGGUACAAAGUCCCAUAGAAGAGGCUCAAUGAUAAGUCACGCCUGCCGGGUAAGGUCAAGAAAGACUUCAUGGAGAUUUGAGAUGGCAUCUGAGAUAAGCCAGGAAAGACGGUAGAAUUUCAACAACCAAAAAAGUGGGGAGAGGGAUGGGAGGCAUUCCAGAGAAGGAGAAAUGCUUGAGCAAUGGUACAGAGACCAGGAAGUUAUAUGAGGGCAGAAAGUCCCUGCUGUCUAUUUAGCUGGGAUAUAGAAUGCAAGUCAGUUAGAUGAUUAGGUGGGGUUAUAACAUAACUAGCCUUAAAUAGUGGACUGAGAAUUUUCCACUUAAUUUAAUGCAAAUGGCAGGGGAGGGGGCAGGCAAUGGAGAGCUGAAAACAGGACUGGAGAUGCGCUGGAGGGAAGUAACCCUGGAAAUGGGUGAAGUACGGGUUACUGUCACCCCAGCUCUGGUUCUUGUUAUUCCCUAGGAGAAGCAUAAUAGAAGUGUGAAUUUAGGGUAGCCAAAUGAUGACUUUGCAGAGGGAAUCUUUAGGACUUGUGACUUGAUUAAAAGCAGGGAGAUGGAUAGGGAACGUCCAAGGAUAACUAGAUAACUAGAGCUCUCCUGUUCCUCUGACUCAUGUGUGCUGAAACUGUAGAGUCAAACAAACACUUGUAAGUGGCGUGAUGUAAAUCCCUUAGGGGCCCAUGCCUGCCUCAAGAGAAGAACGUGUGGUCAGGAAAAACGACCGGGGGAAGUGAAAACGACACAAGACCCAGAGGAUAACCCUUAUUUUAUUCACACAUGCAAAUUUAGGCACAGCAAAAAGCAAAACGAAGUAUACCAAAUGUCAAGGGUUAAUUAUUAAUCAUUUCUAUAUUAAAUUAUGAGUUUUUCAGUAAGACACUUUUUGAUAAGAAACUUGAAUUACGUUCAUAACCAUCAAAAUAAAGAAAAUAAAAGAGACAGAUUUUCUUUGGUGGUGGGAGAACAUUAAGUAUUGUGGAAGCCUGAAAAAUGGUCCCCAAAAGAAUCUGGUCCUAAUCCUUAGAACUUGUGAGUAUUAUCUUACUUGGAAAAAGGGUUGUUUUAAGAUAAGGAUCUUGAGUUGGGAAGAUUGUCCUGAGUUAUUCAGGUAGGCUGUAAAUGCCAUCACAGGCAACCUUUUUACAUGGAUAUUUGACACAGAGUGGAGGAGACACCCAUAGGAGAAGGCUAUGUGAAGACAUAGCAUCGAGACACUUGAAGAUAUUGGCCUUCAAAUGGCACAGCCACAAGCAAAGGAAUGCCAGCAGCCACCAGGAAAAAGCAAAGAAUGGAUUCUCACCUAAAGUCUCCAGAGGGACUGUAGAGUAUCCUGCCAACACCUUGAUUUUGACUCUGUGAAACUGAUGUCAGGCUUCUGGCCUCCAGAACUGUGAGAGAAGAAAUUUCUGUUGUUUUAAACCUUCGAAUUUGUGGUAAUGUGUUAGAGCAGCCACAGGAAACUCAUAUUCUAAACUAGCAACUAUGAAAUGAGAAUUUCUAGUGUUCAGCUAAGAUACCACCGCAGAAGCAGCUGGAUAAUAUCAGAUGAGCCGAAAACUUCUCUUACCCCAUUUCCUUAUCCAUAAAAUUAGCAAAUAAUACCUGUCUUGCAGAGUUAAUUUUAAAGUUAUACAAGUAAAUACACUUUGAAAGUGACAAGUACUAGAAAAAUGUAGGGAAUUAUCCUACAAGUCUGGGUAUCCCCACCACCCAAGGCACAUGAAUGAUGCACAAUAAAAUAUACAAUUGGUUAGAAAUAGAACAAAGUGUUGAAAGUGCUUCAAAGCUCGAAAUGUAGGGCAUGAGGAAUGAAGGAAAUUCAGUUCAGGAAUAAAAUAUUUAUUCAGCAUCACUAAUAAGCCAGGCACUCUGCCAGAACCCAAAGGUAUAAAGAGGAACAAAUGAUAAUUCCUGCCCUGUGGAUGGCUUAUAGUCUAGGGUAGCAUUUUUACAGUGUGUUCACAGACCACUAAGCUCUCAAAUUUCUAUUUAAAGAUGCCAAAGGACCCAAGAUCAAGUGCUAUAUUCUAAUAUCUACCCUCUCCAUUUCCUACCCCCUCCCACAACCACACUUUCUGUAGACUCACAAUGUGUUAGUUAAUUUAAGGCAUUGAGUCCUGUUGUUAAUAAGCUGACUUGCCCUUAAUUAUCACAGGCUUUUCCAAAUUUCCUUGACAUGCACUAACCAUUUAACCUUGGGGAAAAGAAUGGAAUAACAUUCUUGCCUGCCUGUUGUAGCUGUCAUCAUAUUUAAAUGUAAUAAAACAUGGAAAGUGUUUAAUAAUUAUGGUGCUCUAGGCAAAAUAGCAGUCCUUCAAAAAUGCCCAUGCCCUAAUCUCCAGAACCUGUGAAUAUGUUACCUGACAUUGUAAAGCAACCUUGUAGGUGUGAUUAAAGUUACAAGCUCUGAGAAGAGAAAAUUACUCUGGAUUAUCUGGGUGGGCCCAGCUUAAUCAUAUGAACCCUUAAAAGUGGAGAAUGUUUUCCAGCUAAGGUCAGAGAAAGAGACUUGACAAAGGAAGAAGGGUCAUAGGGAUGUGAUACCGCUAGCUUUAGAGAUGAAGGAAGAGGACCACAGCCAAGAAAUGUGGGUAGCCUCUGAACACAAUACAAGGCAAGGACACGGGCUCUCUCCUUGAGCCUCUAGAAGGAGCACAGCCAUAAGGCAUUCUUAAACUAUGUCGCUUACCUUACCUACCUCAUCCACUUACUACUUGUAUGGCUAAUGGCAUGAGGAAGUCACUAAAACUCUCCGAGCCUUCCUGGCCUCCACUUAAAUGGGAGUGGUACCCACAGAGGGUCAGGAGGCUCAAUCAAAUCUCAAAUUCAUUAUCUCUUGCUUCUCAUGCACAAGUCAGUGUCAGCAGGAGGCAUCAGUGCUUCUGCAAAAAUAACUAAUUCAACAUUACUUUGUCAGAUCACAACCCUUCUUUGCUAAAACCUUCCAGAGGCUCCCUGUCUCACUCACAGAACAACCUCAUGGACUUCCUCUGUUCUCAGGAUUCUCAUGACACAAUAUGACCCCAUUUCCUCUGACUAUAGGUCCUUCCUCUCUCCCCCUUCCUGAUGGUGCUCCAGCCAUACUGGCCACCUUGCUGUUCCUGAGGCACACCAGGCAGCUUCCAGCCUCAGGACAUUUGCACUUGCUGUUUUCUCUGCUUAGAGCCCUCUUCCCCCAUAUCCACAUAGCUUGCUCCCUCAACUCCUUUAGAUCUUCAUUCGGCUAUUACCUUCUUCCUGAGGCCUUCCCUAACAACCCUAUGAAAAUUGCAAUACCUGCCAGCCAAACAUUCCCCAUCCUCCCUUCACUUUAAUUUCCGCCAUAGUAAUUUCAUCUUCUCACAUGCUGCAUAUUUAACUGUUUUGUUUACUUUCUUUCCUCCAUUGGAAUAUAAGCUCUAUCAGGGCUUUUCAUGAAGGACAUGCAAGUAGAUGCUUGAUAAAUAUUUGUUGGAUAAAUAAAUCAGUGCAUAUACCAAUCUGAAGUCACAAAAUCAAUAUGAGCAUCACCUUCCACUAAAGACAUAUCCUUUCAGUUAUCGAUGAAAAAUGAAGUUGAAAACACAAUAAUCAGCCUGUCAUUGAACAAUGCAGCUGCAGCUAAGAUCAAGUUCUUGACUGACUUUGCCGAGCCCAACCAAUUCAAAGGAAGAAUAAAAACAUGGUCAAGGGACCCAAGACCCAGCUCUUAUCCCCUACUCAGAGAAAACCCAGAGAGAACCAGCCUUCUGAUGUCUUGUCCUUCCUGGUUUUGACCAACCUCUAAAAACCAUAAGAACAGUUUGUCUCAGUAUUUCAGUACUUCCGCUUCCAGGCCCAGGAAAGAGCAGGAAGUGCAGGGGCGUGUGAAAAUCAAGAAAAAAGAAGAAUUAAACCCGCUACACAUGAAGCGCUCAAAGACUUCCUCUGUAACCUGUUGCAGCACACGAGUUUCAAUGUGCUUUCACUGAGAGCCCAGGGGGACUGUGCUGUCCCCAGAAUUUCGCACCAUGCCCCACACUCUCAAUGAACACUUGUUGCCUAAAAAAAAAAAAUUAAAUUUUAAGACCUUCAGUUUCUCUAUUUGUAUAAAGUGAUUAUAAAACCUACCUUAUGGAGCUGUCUGAUGAUCACAUAUGAAAUCGCAUAUGUUAAGUGCUUAUGCAGCGUCUGGCACAUGAUCAGCAUUAAUUUUAUGUGAACUGCCAUUUUGAUGGCAGUGGUGGCGAUCUGAUGGUGGAGGAGGUUUAGUUAGCGCUGGGUAGAUUGUAACAUAUACCUAUCCUUAAUGAUUUGUUCAACCUGGAAUUUUGGACGGAGCCUGGGCCUGAGGAGUUGAACCUUAGAGUGAUCCAUUUCUCUUGGAAAAGUCCUGUUCAGUUUGAGCAAGAAACUCUGGAAAGGGGAAGGAUGUAUUUUAAUCCCAGCUACCAGGGUGACAGGCAGCAGAACUGAAACAGCAUGACUAAGCACAGACCAUCUCCUUUCAUUACAUGGGGGGCUGAGGUCUUUCCUCUCUACUGCCAGGGACUGGAGAAAGGAAAGAUACCCAGUUUAAUUGCAUCUGAUAAACGGAUAGUAAAGUCCAAGAGUAGACAAUUGGAAUAUUUCCCCAGCCUUUUUCCUGUUAGGUUCUCAAAGCUAGAAAAAAAAUGCUGAAUGUCUUUUCCCUAACUUCAUAUCGCCAUAUGAAGCCCAGCUAAGUUUCCCUUGAAGUUCACUAGCCCAUUUCCUCUGUAGGUCUACAGGGGCCACCUGCCAAUGUGCAGGGAUUAAAUGAAGAAAUAAAGACCUAAGGCCUUUCUAGAAGCUAAAAACCCUAGGACUCCCUAAACACUUUGGAGUUGCAGCUCCCAUUGGUUAAGAGGUAUGGAUCGCAUAGUUUCAAGCUGAGCCAUGCUUUUCGGAAUACUCUGCUUUUUCUCAUCUUUUUCCACUAUAGUAAUACUAUAAAUGAGAUCUCUUCCAGAAAUAAAGGCAGAAAGCCCCAAGCUCGAUGCUAAAGAUGUUUGUGACAGAGUUCUGCAAGAAUAGGAUAUUUGCAGUCUCGUCUGCGAUAAUCAUUUCAGAAGUGGCUGCUGAUACUGGACUAUGUGGCAGAGGAGACUCCUGACUUUCACUUCUCUAAAUAACCAACAACUCCUCACUGUCCCUGUGUAAAGCUAUCAUGGCUGUGGGGAAGGAGAGACACUUCAAGGACAGCUCAGAGCAAAGUACCAGUUUAAAAUCUUCUCACGAGAAGAGCAGCAUCCUUCACUCAUUUGUCCUUUCACUGAGGGUGCACUACAUGUACUCACUGUGCUAGAUAUUGGGAAUACAGGGCUGAGUGAGACAUGGGCAGACUCCCUGAGAGGUAACACUCAGACUACAUCUCAAAGGAUAACUAGAUAUCCGCCAAUCAAGAUGGAGCAGCAGGCCAGGUAUACAGGCUCAGCAUCACUUUGGGCGUUGCUUUAUCUUAAAAAGCUGCCUGAACCACUUAAAGGGACCCACUGCUGCCUUCAAAAGAGUACAGUGAUAUGCAUCUUCCUGAGGUCUUUCUAAGCCACUUCUGGAGCUAGAUAUAUGUUUCUCAGAUGUCUCUGAAACAAGGUUUCCAGGCAACUACAUCUGAGGCCAUUGGUGCUGCAAUAUGACUGAAAGGAAAGAGGGUGUGUACUUCAACAGCCUUGCUGUAAGCAAGGUGGCUUCAUCCCCUCCCCCCACCUGAAAUUGAGAAACACAGAAGUGACCACAGUCCUAGGCCACUGUGUGCAAAAAUGGGAAAUGUCACUCAUCAGGUCCUCUCCCACGUUUAACCAGAAUCAUCAGCCUAUAGAUUCGGGAACUGAGUGGCUUGACCAUUUUGCACGUAAGCCAUAUGCAAUUGGUCCAAAGGAGACCAGUGAGCAACAAUUCAAUUUAGAGUUCACUGAACUCUCUGGUUUGGGAAGGAAAUUGCUAGUAAUCAAUUGCAGCAAGCAUACAGGCUCAGGGCCAGGAAGAGAAAAAUCACUUUAAUGGGCAAAGCAGAUGUUGCUAAAUUCAUUGCAAAAGUGAGAUGGGCACAGAGCCAGGCCUUGCAUGAGAGAUGCUGAUCUGUUCUCCUGAAUGAACAAAACAGAGACAUUUCAAAAAGGGGGGUUUCUAUGAAAGAAGCCAGAGGUCUGUGUCCCUGUUAGAGUAAAUAAAAGAAAAUGCACCCAGGUGUUCAGGUCCCCCAUACCACCACAGGACUUAAAGUUGUUAACAUCUUACGAGGAUUUUUAAACAAAUCCAGAAUACUAGCAAAAACUGCCUGGGGAGUCUUCAUUCGGUUCUAAGGAGAGUAUGUGGUAGAGUAGAGAGAACACGGGCUUUGGCAUCAGAUCUGUUUCUUCCAUGAAUUAGUUGCUUCCACCACCAAGAAGUUGUAUGACUUGGGCAAAGUUCUUAACACCUCUCAGUCUCAGUUUCCUCCACUGUAAAAUGGGCCUAAUGUCAUUUACCUUAUUAGAGCAGUUGUGAGGACUAGUGAUAAUGUCUGUAAAGUAUGGUAGAGAAAUGCACUUAAGCAAUAACAUGUUUUCAGAACCAUGAAAAGACUAGUGACACUAGGAUGUGGGGAGAAUUGGUUAAUGACAGGGCAGGGUGGGGUGGGAUGGGGAGAAUUUCUGGCCCAAUAUUGACCAGCUUUGGCACGUGCUCUUGGUGAAGGAUUACUUCACAGGUCACAUGUUUCUUUGCAUGCUUAGGCUGAUAAAACAUCUCUCAAGAAUAUAAGAGCUCAGCAAGUGUAGGAGCAUAGCCCAAGAAAGGUCACUGUGUGUACUUAGAACAUUUUCAUGGAGUAGCUUCAAAUGCAAGCCUCCUAAAAGAGAGUUGAUUCUGAUUCCCCAAAUCUGAAAUGUUCUUUACUUACCUAAUUCCCACUCAUCCUUCAAGGCCCAACCAGAGUCCCUCCUCUGAGAAUCAUCCCAAAUUCCUCUGGAGCUCACCAUCUCUACCUACUCACAUAUUGCCCAGUUUAUAUCAGCUGCCUUCAAUCCUUCCUGGAACAAGACAUUAAUCCCAUUCAGUAAAAACUUUAAAUGCUACUUACUCAAUUCUUUGGCCUGUCAUAGUAAAGUGUCAUACACUGAUCAUCACCUGAAUCAUGUGGUUCUACCCCAAAUACUUAGCAACUUCCUAGAGUUUAGAUAUUGAACUUGCACUAAUUAAAAUCUCUAAAUCAGAAGGCAGAGAGAGCUGAGGGCUCUGACACUUGACUAGUUGUGUGAGCUUGGGCCAAGUUUCAUGGCCUUCUCAAGCCUUAGUUCUCUCAUCUGUAUACUGGAGAUAAUAAUAGCACCUUCCUCCUAGGACUUGUGUGAGACUUUCGUGAGCUCGGUCCUGCAAAGUGCUCAGCACUACAUUGUUAGCUGAGUAGUAACAGUCACUUUCCUGAAAGCUUCUUCACCCAGAGGGGCUAGCCCAUGCCUGUGCACAAAGAAUGUCAAAUUACAUUCACACCCCCUGAGAUUUCCAAGCUACAGGCCAUUUUCACAGUGGCCACUCUCCAGAAAGCUAAGUCCUGCUGAAAGUAUGUUUCCAAGUUGCCAUCACCUUUAGAAUAUUUCUGAUAAGCAAGCAAAACUGCCUGUGGCCUUUGGCAGUGAAUUUCUGGGGGCUGGUAAGAGGAGGAUGUUUACCAGAGCACAAAGGCCAGGUCAUAAGCAGAGAAUAUUUUGGCCCAGACAGAUCCCAGAGAAGGCAUUUUUGCCAAGCACAGACUCCAUUCUCAGGUCCUGAAGUCAGCAUUAGACACUAAACAAACCUUCCCGGGUUCACAUUUGUUUACUUUUGGCCAAAUGCAACUUCCUGUUUGAAAGGAAAAGGGCAGUAAAGCUUUCUAUAGCCUUCUUGGACAUAAAGGCUCUACUUGAAACAAUUGAUUUGCUAAGGAUAAAUGAAUCAAACGUACACAAUGGGGAUCUCCCCUCCCCUCAAAAUGUUCAUGUUUCAACAGGGAAAGUGCUCAACAAAACCAAAACAAAUAUUUUUUCAACUGCUGGCCAAUGAAGAUUGUUUAGGCCAUUUCUUCUCCUGAGAGCAAGAAAAACAGACAUCAGGAGAGAGCUGAGUUACAUGUGCUGUGUCAGAGAAGUCACUGCGACACACUUGGGGGUUGAGAUUUCAGUUACACAGAAAGUCACAAAGUUGAAGUUCCCACAGCCACUCAAACCACAUUCCCUAGCAUGAACACAGAACAACCAGCUCUUUCAUUACGUGACUACGUCCCAAACCACGUCCUUCAGGAUCCUGAAAUUCCCUCGGAUGCCCAUGCGCCCUGCACCUAGGUUUGAAAACUGACUACCAACCCCACAUAAAUCCACCAUAAGAUUUUACAAGGAUUCAAAAUAACUUACUCUGUGUGAGGAGGUGGGGGAUGGGGAGGGGAGGUCUGUACUUUUAGAGCAUCUAGCAAAGUUAGCAUAAAAUAUAGACUUUAACUUGGGUUUAUAUAUAAAAUGAAGGUGCUCUCUACAAAUCUUGAAUCUCCUUGUCAUAAAAUAUUAAAUUUGUAAAGGACCUUAAAAAUCUUCUGGUCAACCUCCCCCUAUACACAAAUAUAUAAAUAAUAUAGAUGAGGAGUAAAGAGGUCGGGAGACAUUUCCUCCUUAGACUGUAGACGUCUUGCUUCUUAGGGCAAGAACUAUUUUGCUUAUCUUCUUAUUCUUUAAC